UGGGGAAUUUUGCACAAUGGGGGAAACCCUGAUGCAGCGACGCAGCGUGAUUUAGAAGGCCUUCGGGUUGUAAAAAUCUUUUCUAUGGGAAGAAAAUGACAGUACCAUAGGAAUAAGGACCGGCUAAUUACGUGCCAGCAGCCGCGGUAAUACGUAAGGUCCGAGCGUUGUCCGGAAUCAUUGGGCGUAAAGGGUACGUAGGCGGGUAAGCAAGUUAGAAGUGAAAUCCUAUAGCUCAACUAUAGUAAGCUUUUAAAACUGCUCAUCUUGAGGUAUGGAAGGGAAAGUGGAAUUCCUAGUGUAGCGGUGAAAUGCGCAGAUAUUAGGAGGAAUACCGGUGGCGAAGGCGACUUUCUGGCCAUAACCUGACGCUGAGGUACGAAAGCGUGGGUAGCAAACAGG
This 402-nucleotide ribosomal RNA is filed under the name bacterium. RNAcentral describes it as "partial 16S ribosomal RNA". It matches the Rfam family "Bacterial small subunit ribosomal RNA", at positions 355 to 776 of the family's 1533-position model. The record is from RNAcentral.